Molecule: ribosomal RNA, 551 nt
Filed under: Bifidobacterium pseudolongum subsp. globosum
Lineage: Bacteria; Bacillati; Actinomycetota; Actinomycetes; Bifidobacteriales; Bifidobacteriaceae
Description: bacterial SSU rRNA
Rfam family: Bacterial small subunit ribosomal RNA
Source: RNAcentral
GUGGUAAUGCCGGAUGUUCCACAUGAGCGCAUGCGAGUGUGGGAAAGGCUUUUUGCGGCAUGGGAUGGGGUCGCGUCCUAUCAGCUUGUUGGUGGGGUAACGGCCUACCAAGGCGUUGACGGGUAGCCGGCCUGAGAGGGCGACCGGCCACAUUGGGACUGAGAUACGGCCCAGACUCCUACGGGAGGCAGCAGUGGGGAAUAUUGCACAAUGGGCGCAAGCCUGAUGCAGCGACGCCGCGUGCGGGAUGGAGGCCUUCGGGUUGUAAACCGCUUUUGUUCAAGGGCAAGGCACGGUUUUUGGCCGUGUUGAGUGGAUUGUUCGAAUAAGCACCGGCUAACUACGUGCCAGCAGCCGCGGUAAUACGUAGGGUGCAAGCGUUAUCCGGAUUUAUUGGGCGUAAAGGGCUCGUAGGCGGUUCGUCGCGUCCGGUGUGAAAGUCCAUCGCUUAACGGUGGAUCCGCGCCGGGUACGGGCGGGCUUGAGUGCGGUAGGGGAGACUGGAAUUCCCGGUGUAACGGUGGAAUGUGUAGAUAUCGGAAAGAACACCA